Vulpes vulpes (red fox) is the source of this 1977-nucleotide long non-coding RNA. The record is from Ensembl. Lineage: Eukaryota; Metazoa; Chordata; Mammalia; Carnivora; Canidae.
CCUGCUUCUCCCUCUGCCUGUGUCUCUGCCUCUCUGUGUCUCUCAUGAAUAAAUAAAUAAAAUCUUUAAAAAGAGAGAGAGACAGGAGAGGAGAACACAUGCAGGGAGAAGGCCAUGUGGACACAGAGGCAGAGACUGGAGUGAUGUGGUUGCAAGUCUAAGAAGGUCUGGAGCCCCCACAGGCUGGGAGAGGCCAGUAAGUAUCCCCCGUAGAGCCAUUAGUGGGAGCAUGAUCCCUCUGACACCUUGUUCCUGAGUAUCUGGCCUCAAGAAAGAGGAGAAUAGAUUCCUGGGGUUAAAGCCACACAGUCUUUGGUGACUUGUUACAACAGCUCCAUGGAACUGUCCCCCCACCAAGCACCCUUCGCCUUGAAUCCUCCAUUCAACCCUUGUGCUCUAUUUUUUUAUACUUCUAUUUGUCACUAAAAGUGCACAUAGGGCACCUGGGUGGCUCAGUCGGUUAAGUGUCUGACUCUUGAUCUCAGCUCUUUUUUUUUUUUUAAGAUUGUAUUUAUUUAUUCAUGAGAGACACAGAGGGAGAUGUAGAGACCUAGGCAGAGGGAGAAGCAGGCUCCACGCAGAAAGCCCGACUCGGAACUUGAUUCCAGGACCCCAGGAUCACACCCUGGGCUGAAGGCAGGUGCCAAACCGCUGAGCCACCCAGGCAUCCCUCAGCUCAGGUCUUGAUCUCAGGAUUAUGAGUUUAAGCCCCACGUUGGGCUCCAUUCGUAUAAAAAAAGUGCGUAUAUUUUUUAGUUGGAUUGUGUUUAACUUUAUAAAGGUCAUCAGGCUAUCUGUGAUCUUAGAGGGACUUACUCUUUUUCAGGUGGUGAUUCUAUUUCUGAGCUGAGGCCACUUUGACAUCCAUCCCUCAGGGCAUGCUUCUUGAUGGCUUUCUGACCUCAUUCAGCAUGGAGGUAGAUUCCAGGUUUGCCCGGCUAUGGACACCUCCAACACAUCCCUCAAUUGCUCUUGGGCAAAUCGCAGGGCACGUGAACAUUCCAUUGGCGGAGGAAGGACCAGCUGGCUUCAACACGGCCACCAUAACACACCAGGACCGUCACCCGGGAGCAGGGGGACGGACGACCAGCAAAGUCAUCCUGAAUCAAUAACUGGCGUAGCGUGUCAGGAGGUGACCAUAGAAUCAGAAGGGGAACGGACCUCAUCACACUCACAAGGACGAUCGUCGUCCAAAGUGGAAAAUAACAAGUGUUGUCAAGGAUGUGGAGAGACUGGAAGCCUCGUGCACCGCCGGUGGGAAUGCAAAACGGGGCAGUGGCCGUGGAAAGAAGUUUGGCGGGUCCUCAAAAAGUUAAACAUAGAAUUAUUUUAUGAGCCAGAAACUCUGCUUCUGGGUGUGUACCCAGAAUAAUUGAAUGUCGGGUCUCAAAGAGAUUCUUGUACAUGUAUGUUCACAGCAGCAUCGCCCAAAGGUAGAAACACCCCAAGUGUCCAGAAACAGAGGCGUGGAUAAACACUGUGGUCCAUGCACACGGAGGAAUGUUUCUCAGCCAUAAAGAGCACUGAAGCUCUGAUACAUGUCAUAUCAUGGAUGAACCUCGAAAACAUCGUGCCGAGGGAAAAAAGCCAGAUACAAAAGGGCACAUCGUGUGUGAUUCCAUGUGUAUGGAAUGUCCAGAACAGACAAACCCAUGGACACAGAGAGCAGGUUAGUGGGUGCCAGGGGCUGGGGGAGGGGGAGCUGGAUGACAGCUAAUUGGGAUGGGGCAUUUGUGUGGGACCAAUAACAAUUAUCCGAGGGGUAUCUGGGUGGCUGCUCAGUCAGUUGACUGGCCAAAUCUUGAUUUUGGCUCAGGUCAUGAUCUCAGGGUCAUGAGAUCCAGUCCUGAGCCAGGCUCCAUACUGUAAGAGUCUGCUUGAGAUUUUCUCUCUCUCUCUCCCUGUGCCCCUCCCCCUGCUUGGGUGCUCUCUCUCUCUCUCUCUCUAAAAUAAAUAAAUAAAUCUUUUAAAAAAUCA